Meriones unguiculatus (Mongolian gerbil) is the source of this 542-nucleotide long non-coding RNA. RefSeq lists it as uncharacterized. The record is from RefSeq and is a predicted model, not a curated record. Lineage: Eukaryota; Metazoa; Chordata; Mammalia; Rodentia; Muridae. The transcript has 2 exons.
CUUGUGAUUCUUGCCCUGCCGGUGCUUCAGAGCCAGCUUAGAAAGGAAAGAAGUCCCCAGUUAACCACAUGGAGCAAGUUCCUCCCUGUGUCACCCUAUUCCUUCUUUUCCUCACAGUAUCUAUAAACCAUGCGCUCAAGCUCUAUAUCAGUUCUGGAGAAAUGAUCACAGUCCUCACAGCAGGGAGCUAGCAGGACUCACAUGGGCCACGCGGAUGCCAGUGCAGAAGGUGAUCUUGCCCUUGGGUUGGACGGUGUGGAGCUUAGAGAGGAUGCGGCCAGUGUCAGGGGUGAGUGUGGUCAGCACCUCACAGUCACUAGGUGUGAGCAAAGCAUUUCCGUGAGUUCAGAUCACAUAGGCCUCCUAACCACUCCAUUCACCUUUUCUCUUCUUCCUUCCUUCCCCCACCCUCACCCCCAGGGCUUCUCUGUGAAGUUCUGGCUGUCCUGGAACUCACUCUGUAGACCAGGCUGGCUUCAAACUCAGAGAUCCGCCUGUCUCUGCCUCUCCAGUGCUGAGAUUAAAGGCGUGUUCCACCAUCA